Molecule: ribosomal RNA, 253 nt
Filed under: uncultured bacterium
Lineage: Bacteria
Description: partial 16S ribosomal RNA
Rfam family: Bacterial small subunit ribosomal RNA
Source: RNAcentral
UACAGAGGGGGCAAGCGUUGUUCGGAAUUACUGGGCGUAAAGGGCGCGUAGGCGGCCUUCUAAGUCGAACGUGAAAUCCCCGGGCUCAACCCGGGAACUGCGUCCGAUACUGGAAGGCUUGAAUCCGGGAGAGGGAUGCGGAAUUCCAGGUGUAGCGGUGAAAUGCGUAGAUAUCUGGAGGAACACCGGUGGCGAAGGCGGCAUCCUGGACCGGCAUUGACGCUGAGGCGCUAAAGCCAGGGGAGCAAACGGG